CCUACGGGUGGCAGCAGUGAGGAAUAUUGCACAAUGGGGGAGACCCUGAUGCAGCAACGCCGCGUGAGUGAGGAAGUCUUUCUGGAUUUAAAACUCUAUCAGCCGGGGAUAGAAAAGCAGAUACCUGAAGCAGACGCCCCGGCUAACUACAUGCCAGCAGCCGCGGUAAUGCGUAGGGGGGAGGCGUUACCCGGAUUUACUGGGUGGAAAGGGAGCGUAGACGGAAAGGCAAGUCAGAGGGGAAAACCCAAGGCUCAACCAUGGGACGGCGUUUGAAACUGUCAAACUAGAGUACGGGAGAGGUAAGCGGAAUUCCUAGUGUAGCGGUGAAAUGCGUAGAUAUCAGGAGGAACACCAGUGGCGAAGGCGUCUUACUGGACCGAAACUGACGUUGAGGCUCGAAAGCGUGGGGAGCAAACAGGAUUAGAUACCCGGGUAGUC
This 441-nucleotide ribosomal RNA is filed under the name uncultured bacterium. RNAcentral describes it as "partial 16S ribosomal RNA". It matches the Rfam family "Bacterial small subunit ribosomal RNA", at positions 338 to 795 of the family's 1533-position model. The record is from RNAcentral.